Paramuricea clavata is the source of this 129-nucleotide non-coding RNA. The record is from the annotation of a GenBank genome assembly. NCBI's taxonomy places the organism in Eukaryota, Metazoa, Cnidaria, Anthozoa, Malacalcyonacea, Plexauridae.
UUUAUACGUCGAAUUUUGAUCGCGUCAAAUGCAAUAAUUCAAACAAUAGAUAAUGAGCUUAAUGAAGUUUAUCAUCUCAUUAUCUAUUGUCUUAAUUGCAUUCGACGCGACCAAAAUUCGACGUAUGAA